GUUGUUCAUGAUGAUGCUUUUUAAGCUUGUUUGAGUUUUACAACUUUGAGAAAACAUAACAUGCACUACCAUCUGAAACAAA
Molecule: small nucleolar RNA, 82 nt
Organism: Polypterus senegalus (gray bichir)
Lineage: Eukaryota; Metazoa; Chordata; Cladistia; Polypteriformes; Polypteridae
Source: RefSeq, a predicted model, not a curated record